RNAcentral lists this long non-coding RNA (1047 nucleotides) under Brassica napus (rape). RNAcentral describes it as "long non-coding RNA (BNAP_LNC026728)". Lineage: Eukaryota; Viridiplantae; Streptophyta; Magnoliopsida; Brassicales; Brassicaceae. The record is from RNAcentral.
GUAAAUAUAAACCCCAAAACAUAGGCAAACCAAACCUUCGGGUAAUUAAAUCCACCGCUUAUAAUACUAGAGGUAUGUAUUUACAUGCCUUAUGGGUAACAUGAAAUACGAAGCUAACGGGGAUGGUAAUAGAACACUUCUCACUACACACUAAACCCAAAUUAGGGAAAUAUAAAAUGUAAUACAUAGGCAACCCAAACCUACAACAAAUUAAAUCCACCUGCCAUAAUACAUGAGUCAUCUAUUUCCCCAACCCUACAACAAAUUAAACCCCCCUGCCAUAAUACAUGAGUCAUCUAUUUACAUUCCUCAAGAGACAUGAAAUAUGCAAUGGGUUAAGACAUAGUAUAAUACAUAGUAUAGUAUAUAAAUAGUAUGGUAUAUAAAUAGCAACGCCUACACAUCAGAUAUGAACCCUUCUCCCCAAAUUGGUUUUCCCACGAAAGCUAAGCUUAUGUAGCAUAACAAAUUGGUUUUCCCACGAAAAGUCACCAGAGUUCGAAGUCCUUCUCAAGAAUCAACUGUCGUGCAAGAAAAUAAUGAAGAAGCAUAACAGAGAAGGUAUAGGACCCCAUCUGCAAGACUUGUCCAAACUGUGAUGCAUUCAACAUCGCCAGGUCCUCAUCCUCUAAUGCAUUUUUUAUCACUUCAGUCCAACGAAGAUUGAAUUAGUUGUUAAUUCUUUUCUUGCCAGUGGAUUCAAAGCAUGUCUCUAACAAUCUACAUAGAAGGCCUAACUCGUUCAUACCAAACCUGUAGAAUGAAAUAAGAGGUGGGAAUUAUAAUAUUAAAUAUAGAAAUGAGGUAGCACUCAAAAUAGAAUAAGUAUAGUUAUCAGAUGGAAAUGAAUAAGAUAUAAAACUAUGAUUUCAUAUAAGAUAGAAUAAUGUGAAAGUAUAACUUUCUUAUAUUCCAUGUGACAGAUACUAUUCCACAAAAUAAUCAUUAUUCCACAAUAAGUGUGCUAUAUACAUAUAAACAUAAUAAGUGCGCUAUAUACAUAUGUGGACUCAGCUCGUGCAGAUACUAUUCUACAAAAUAAUCACU